Molecule: unclassified non-coding RNA, 494 nt
Filed under: Hevea brasiliensis (rubber tree)
Lineage: Eukaryota; Viridiplantae; Streptophyta; Magnoliopsida; Malpighiales; Euphorbiaceae
Source: RNAcentral
GUUGAGUUGAGUUGAGUUGAAUAUAUUCCACGUUAUCAAUUAAUAUUAGAAGUACUCUGGGACUUUCAUUUACAAUUAGGACCAAGCCAGAUUUCCAGAUUAUAACUUUCAUAUGAGUUUUGUAUAUGCAACGGACUCCAUCAAGUUUUUCUUUUAUUAACAAGGAUCCAAGUCAAUUUGAAUGAGUUUUUGUAAUGAGCAAGAGUGCUGCAGGACAUUUGACAUGAUGCUGACAAGGAAAAUGACCUAAAAGAUGAGCAAACAUAGAAACCCAACUAGGCAGAGUCUGAGUUCUAAACACAAUCCAACAAGGUGUAGAGGCUAGGCCUUCCAAACUGAUUCCAUCCCUUUCAACCACAAAAAUCCAACAGUUAAAGCUGCAAUUUAGGUUCACAUGACAUCAAUAAAAUUAUGAACUUUACAUUCUAACCACAAGACAAACAAAGAGAGUGCUCCAAGCAACUAACUCACCAGUCCAUAUAGACAAAAGUAGA